Megalobrama amblycephala (Wuchang bream) is the source of this 1856-nucleotide long non-coding RNA. RefSeq lists it as uncharacterized. The record is from RefSeq and is a predicted model, not a curated record. The transcript has 4 exons. NCBI's taxonomy places the organism in Eukaryota, Metazoa, Chordata, Actinopteri, Cypriniformes, Xenocyprididae.
CCUGGGUAUGCAGUUUUGUGGCAGGACUGACUAAAUGUCAGACUGUCUGAGAGACAUACAGCAGCCCAAGUUCAAUGACUGAUGAUCUACACAGAACACUGAAGGACUUCCAUUCACUCCCUUGUGGACAGGUUUUGCAUUUUAAUGAUCAUUUUAAUGAGACCAAUCAGUUAAAACUGGGGCUGGAUUUGGCAUAGUGAGGGCUAUUACAUUAACCAACUAGGGGUAAAGACAUGGGUAAAGAAAAGGGAAAUUGGGCACAAGGUGUCCAAAGAGAAAGGUAUGGCUAAAAAGCAACAAUAUUGAUCACUCCACUUCGUUUAAAGGUCAUUUUCUAGAUUCAGUAAUAAUAAUAAUAAUAAUUCUAAGAUUUCAAAAUUUUGAAACGAGGUGUCAAGAUAGGAAUGUUUUUGUUUUGUUUUGUUUUGUUUUGUUUUGUUUUGUUUUGUUUUGUUUUGUUUUGUUUUGUCCAUGGAUCCAAGAUUGUGUGGAGAUCUCCAAUCUUCUUCUAAGUAGCUGAGCAACAACAAAAAGCUUGACAAAUUGUAAUUUCGCAGUGGAUGACAAAUUGCAUUUGAGAAAUUGAAAUUGGCUCUCUCAACUGCAGGCCUACACUCUUAAAAAUAAAGGUUCUUAAAUGGUUCUUUGGCAGGGUGUAUGGUUCCAUGAAGAACCUUUACUAUCCUUUAGUAAAGGUUCUUCAUGUUCAACCUUUACUAUAUCAUUAUAUUUAUUAUUAUUAUUAUUUUUAUUUUAUUUUUUUCAGGAAAGUGAGAUCAAGUGAGCUAAAUUCUCCUGUCUGGUCCAGAACUAAUUCAGACUAAUUUUUCCAGACUCAAAUUAAUAUAAAUAAUGCAAUAUAAAUUAUUAAUUUUGAGUUAUAUAAAUAGAGUUGUGGUGUUUAUCAAUUGAAAAACAGUAGAUCAAUCCUUUUAUAUAUUUUAAUGUUUUGCAUGACUCAAGGCUCACUGAAAAUCUUUAAAAAUAUAAUUAUGUGACUUCGAAGGCGUUGCUGAUUAAUUUAUUAUUUAACUAAAAGCAAAGUUUAGUAUAAAAUCCUGCAGUAAUGUUUUAAAAUUUGUUUUAAACCCUUUGUAAAGGCUUUGCCUUGCCUUGCCUAUAUGAAUGGUUCGUAGAACUACAAAAUGAGUUUCAAAUUCGCGAUUGAAUAAUAAUGUAAUAUAAUUUAAUGACAUUUUAAAUUGUUUAUGUAGUGUUUUAAUUCAAGAUGCUUAUUUAAGUGCUGCGUGACGUGUUUUAAUGGGCGUGCGCGCCGAGUUGCCAUAGAAACGGGCCAGCAACACCAACUGACAAGUUUAAGAACUCCGUCUCUCACUGUUGGUUUCAGUGCUUUCAGAAAUGGUUCCGGAGUCUUCGAAAAAGUCCGUUAGCAUCUCAACCGUUUUCCGAAGAGAUUCUUCCAUGCUGAUGGCCGUGCAGCAGAAUAGGAGCAGACCUCAAUCAUACACUAAUGUUCAAAAGUUUGAGGAUCCUACCCAGCCCCAACCAUUCAUCAGAAGGACUGUGAAAGCGGGAACUGUUUAAACCACCAGUGGCGGUUUCCACAGGAUAGUUGUGGAUGAGGGGGGUACUGAUAUUAACACGUUGUAUUCACUGUAUUACACACUAUAGUGUGUAUAUAUUUUUUAAAUUCACUGUGACCAUUGAGUACUCAGACUUGACAUUGACGGAUGACAUUGAAGAUGUUUGCAGUGAUCGAGUCUCAGACAGUGUCAAGUCUUAAUACUCCAGUACUUGUGCACACCCCUAUUAAACGCACACACACUGUAUCAAGGUAUGAUGUAUACUGCAAUGAUGUAUAAUGUAAAUGCAAUAAAUACUUUUAUCAUAUACUG